GGUUGCUUGAUAUCAUGCUGAGUAUGAAGUGGUAUGUCAAAAACAGUGGGUAAAACCCCGGAUUUCUUUUCCAAUCUGUGUAUGUUGUUUGAACCUUGUCCACUGACAUAAAUGUGGCCAUAGUCAUCAGAACAUAUGUCAGUGGGUGUAUCAAUAGUGGCAAUGCUACACGUUUCUUUAAUAGGCGUACCGACAAAGAUGUUGUUUUGGCCGGCUAUACAGGAAUAGAACAAUCAUUUGUUGUAUGGAACUUAACAACAUCAAAUCCUUUAGUAUACGAUGAAACUAUA
This 290-nucleotide long non-coding RNA is filed under the name Mytilus galloprovincialis (Mediterranean mussel). Lineage: Eukaryota; Metazoa; Mollusca; Bivalvia; Mytilida; Mytilidae. The record is from RNAcentral.